Molecule: ribosomal RNA, 313 nt
Filed under: uncultured Bacteroidales bacterium
Lineage: Bacteria; Pseudomonadati; Bacteroidota; Bacteroidia; Bacteroidales
Description: partial 16S ribosomal RNA
Source: RNAcentral
GGAGUCUGGACCGUGUCUCAGUUCCAAUGUGGGGGACCUUCCUCUCAGAACCCCUAGCCAUCGUCGGCACGGUGGGCCGUUACCCCGCCGUCUACCUAAUGGCACGCGAGCCGAUCCGUAUGCAAUAAAUCUUUCAACACCAGACCAUGCAGUCCGGUGUGUUACGGGGUAUUACGCGACGUUUCCAUCGACUAUCCCCCACAUACGGGCACGUUGCUCACGCGUUACUCACCCUUUCGCCGGUCGCCGGCAUGUAUUGCUACACCCGCUGCCCCUCGACUUGCAUGUGUUAAGCCUGCCGCUAGCGUUCAUC